AGUGAAGCGGGAAGAGCUCAAAUUUGAAAUCUGGUGGCCUCAGGCUAUCCGAGUUGUAAUCUAUAGAAACAUUUUCCGCGUUGGCCCAUGUACAAGUCUCUUGGAAUAGAGCGUCAUAGAGGGUGAGAAUCCCGUCCUUGACAUGGACUACCAGUGCUUUGUGAUAUGUUUUCAACGAGUCGAGUUGUUUGGGAAUGCAGCUCAAAAUGGGUGGUAAAUUCCAUCUAAAGCUAAAUAUUGGCGAGAGACCGAUAGCGAACAAGUACCGUGAGGGAAAGAUGAAAAGCACUUUGGAAAGAGAGUUAAACAGUAUGUGAAAUUGUUGAAAGGGAAACGAUUGAAGUCAGUCGUGUCUAUUGGACUCAGCCGGUUCUGCCGGUGUACUUCCUUUAGAUGGGGUCAACAUCAGUUUUGAUCGCUGGAAAAGGGCAGGAGGAAUGUAGCACUCUCGGGUGAACUUAUAGCCUUCUGUCGCAUACAGUGGUUGGGACUGAGGAACGCAGCUUGCCUUUAUGGCCGGGAUUUAUCCACGUACAAGCUUAGGAUGUUGACAUAAUGGCUUUAAACGACCCGUCUUGA
RNAcentral lists this ribosomal RNA (579 nucleotides) under Solicoccozyma terricola. RNAcentral describes it as "eukaryotic LSU rRNA". It matches the Rfam family "Eukaryotic large subunit ribosomal RNA", at positions 92 to 657 of the family's 3401-position model. The record is from RNAcentral. Lineage: Eukaryota; Fungi; Basidiomycota; Tremellomycetes; Filobasidiales; Piskurozymaceae.